AAAAACUCAAUUUCUGAGUUUCCGUGUCUAACAUUUGACCGUUCGUCUUAUUUGAAAAAAAUAUAAACAAAUUUAAAAAGAUAAGUCAUGCAUAAAGUAUUAUACAUGUUUUAUCAUCUAACAAUAAUAAAAAUACUAAUCAUAAAAAAAUUUUAUAUAAGACGGAUGGUAAAACGUUGGACACGGAAACCGAAGAAUUCUGUCUUU
Molecule: non-coding RNA, 207 nt
Organism: Oryza barthii
Lineage: Eukaryota; Viridiplantae; Streptophyta; Magnoliopsida; Poales; Poaceae
Source: Rfam